GGCUGUCUCAUUCUAUUUGGAAUUAAAAUUUAAUUUUUUAGUUAAAACGCUAAGAUGUUAUUGGAAGACGAGAAGACCCUAUAGAGCUUUAUAUAAUGAUGUAUAAUUUAAUUUAUAUUGAAUUUUUGUUAUUUGUUUUUGUAUUUUAUUGGGGUGAUAGAGAAAAUAUUUAACUUUUUUAUUUUUUUUUCAUUGAUGUAUGAUUAGGAGAUCCAUUAUUAUUGAUUAUUAGAUCAAGUUACCUUAGGGAUAACAGCGUAAUCCNCCCCCAGAGUUCAUAUUUACGGGCAGGGCUUGCGACCUCGAUGUUGGAUUAAGAUAAUAAUUAGGUGUAGCCGCUUAAUGAGUAGGUCUGUUCGACCUUUAAAUUCUUACAUGAUCUGAG
Molecule: ribosomal RNA, 385 nt
Filed under: Aeschnosoma forcipula
Lineage: Eukaryota; Metazoa; Arthropoda; Insecta; Odonata; Corduliidae
Description: partial 16S ribosomal RNA
Rfam family: Bacterial large subunit ribosomal RNA
Source: RNAcentral